This 257-nucleotide ribosomal RNA is filed under the name uncultured Basidiomycota. RNAcentral describes it as "partial 18S ribosomal RNA". It matches the Rfam family "Eukaryotic small subunit ribosomal RNA", at positions 624 to 886 of the family's 1831-position model. The record is from RNAcentral. Lineage: Eukaryota; Fungi; Basidiomycota.
AAGCUCGUAGUUGAAUUUCGGGCCCGGUCGGGCGGUCUGCCUCACGGUAUGUACUGUCUGACUGGGUCUUACCUCUUGGUGAGCCGGCAUGCCCUUCACUGGGUGUGUCGGGGAACCAGGACUUAUACUUUGAGAAAAUUAGAGUGUUCAAAGCAGGCCUAUGCCCGAAUACAUUAGCAUGGAAUAAUAAAAUAGGACGUGCGGUUCUAUUUUGUUGGUUUCUAGAGUCGCCGUAAUGAUUAAUAGGGAUAGUUGGG